RNAcentral lists this ribosomal RNA (397 nucleotides) under uncultured bacterium. RNAcentral describes it as "bacterial SSU rRNA". It matches the Rfam family "Bacterial small subunit ribosomal RNA", at positions 28 to 426 of the family's 1533-position model. The record is from RNAcentral.
GACGAACGCUGGCGGCGUGCUUAACACAUGCAAGUCGAGCGGUAAGGCCCUUUCGGGGGUACACGAGCGGCGAACGGGUGAGUAACACGUGGGUGACCUGCCCUUAGCUCUGGGAUAAGCCUGGGAAACUGGGUCUAAUACCGGAUAUGACUCCAUGACGCAUGUUGUGGGGUGGAAAGCCUUGUGCGGCUAGGGAUGGGCCCGCGGCCUAUCAGCUUGUUGGUGGGGUGAUGGCCUACCAAGGCGACGACGGGUAGCCGGCCUGAGAGGGCGACCGGCCACACUGGGACUGAGACACGGCCCAGACUCCUACGGGAGGCAGCAGUGGGGAAUCUUGCGCAAUGGGGGAAACCCUGACGAAGCAACGCCGCGUGGAGGAUGAAGGCCUUCGGGUCGU